CAGUAGCCACGGUAAUACGUAGGGUGCGAGCGUUGCUCGGAAUGACUGGGCGUAAAGGGCGCGUAGGCGGUUUUGACAGUCAGAUGUGAAAGCCCUGGGCUCAACCUGGGAAUUGCAGUGGAUACUGGGUCACUAGAGUGUGGUAGAGGAUAGUGGAAUUUCCGGUGUAGCAGUGAAAUGCGUAGAGAUCGGAAGGAACAUCUGUGGCGAAGGCGACUAUCUGGGCCAACACUGACACUGAGGCACGAAAGCGUGGGGAGCAAACAGGAUUAGAUACCCGCGUAGUCCCUGUCUCUUAUAC
This 301-nucleotide ribosomal RNA is filed under the name uncultured bacterium. RNAcentral describes it as "partial 16S ribosomal RNA". It matches the Rfam family "Bacterial small subunit ribosomal RNA", at positions 509 to 807 of the family's 1533-position model. The record is from RNAcentral.